AUUGAACGCUGGCGGCAUGCCUUACACAUGCAAGUCGAACGGCAGCACGGGGGCAACCCUGGUGGCGAGUGGCGAACGGGUGAGUAACACAUCGGAACGUGUCCUGUUGUGGGGGAUAACCAGUCGAAAGACUGGCUAAUACCGCAUGAGCUGGAGACAGGAAAGCGGGGGACCUGAAAGGGCCUCGUGCGAUUGGAGCGGCCGAUGUCCGAUUAGCUAGUUGGUGGGGAAAGGCCCACCAAGGCGACGAUCGGUAGCUGGUCUGAGAGGAUGAUCAGCCACACUGGGACUGAGACACGGCCCAGACUCCUACGGGAGGCAGCAGUGGGGAAUUUUGGACAAUGGGGGCAACCCUGAUCCAGCCAUGCCGCGUGAGUGAAGAAGGCC
This 387-nucleotide ribosomal RNA is filed under the name uncultured bacterium. RNAcentral describes it as "bacterial SSU rRNA". It matches the Rfam family "Bacterial small subunit ribosomal RNA", at positions 29 to 416 of the family's 1533-position model. The record is from RNAcentral.